UGGGGAAUAUUGGACAAUGGGCGCAAGCCUGAUCCAGCCAUGCCGCGUGUGUGAAGAAGGUCUUCGGAUUGUAAAGCACUUUAAGUUGUGAAGAAGGGUGGAAGUAACGACUCCAUCUUGACAUUAGCAACAGAAUAAGCACCGGCUAACUUCGUGCCAGCAGCCGCGGUAAUACGAAGGGUGCAAGCGUUAAUCGGAAUAACUGGGCGUAAAGCGCGCGUAGGUGGUUAAUCAAGUUGGAUGUGAAAUCCCCGGGCUCAACCUGGGAACUGCAUCCAAAACUGAUUGACUAGAGUAUGGUAGAGGUUAGUGGAAUUUCCUGUGUAGCGGUGAAAUGCGUAGAUAUAGGAAGGAACACCAGUGGCGAAGGCGACUAACUGGACUGAUACUGACACUGAGGUGCGAAAGCGUGGGUAGCAAACA
This 423-nucleotide ribosomal RNA is filed under the name uncultured bacterium. RNAcentral's name for it is "bacterial SSU rRNA". It matches the Rfam family "Bacterial small subunit ribosomal RNA", at positions 355 to 774 of the family's 1533-position model. The record is from RNAcentral.